UGGCUCAGAACGAACGCUGGCGGCGCGCUUAACACAUGCAAGUCGCACGAGAAAGUGGAGCAAUCCAUGAGUACAGUGGCGUACGGGUGAGUAACACGUGGAUCAUCUACCUCUUAGUGGGGAAUAACCCUGGGAAACCGGGGCUAAUACCGCAUAAUCUCGAGAGAGGAAAGCAGCAAUGCGCUGAGAGAGGAGUCCGCGGCCGAUUAGCUAGUUGGUAGGGUAACGGCCUACCAAGGCAAAGGUAAGUAGCCGGCCUGAGAGGGCACACGGCCACACUGGCACU
This 286-nucleotide ribosomal RNA is filed under the name uncultured Acidobacteriota bacterium. RNAcentral's name for it is "uncultured Acidobacteria bacterium partial 16S ribosomal RNA". It matches the Rfam family "Bacterial small subunit ribosomal RNA", at positions 20 to 320 of the family's 1533-position model. The record is from RNAcentral. Lineage: Bacteria; Pseudomonadati; Acidobacteriota.